UUGAAAGGGAAACGAUUGAAGUCAGUCGUACCAGCGGGAAAUCAACCUUUCGAGCGGUGUUUUGGAGUUUUGAAGUGUGUCAAAACCUUUGAGAUUUUAAAAUUUUCGCUCUUUUGGUGUACUUUCUNCGGGGGUAGGUUAACAUCGAUUUUGAUCAUCAUAAAAAGAUUGGAGGAAUGUAGCUUCGAUCUUGUAUUGAAGUGUUAUAGCCUUUGGUAAAUGUGAUGAUUGGGAUCGAGGAUUGCAACGAAUACCCUUUUGGGCUAUCCGCCUGAUCUCUGAUACGUGGCCUUGGCAUCGAAAGCUUGCUUAUGGUAUCAAGGUAUUACGGUCAAAAGGUUAGAACGGAUUACAUUCGUUAAGGAUGUUGACGUA
This 375-nucleotide ribosomal RNA is filed under the name uncultured Glomeromycotina. Its description in RNAcentral is "LSU rRNA". Lineage: Eukaryota; Fungi; Glomeromycota. The record is from RNAcentral.